CCAAUAGCGUAUAUUAAAGUUGUUGCAGUUAAAAAGCUCGUAGUUGAAUUUCGGGAUCAAUUUAUUGGUCGUGCUAUCGUACGUACUGGUAUUAUUGAUUCCUACCUUCUGACGAACCAUGAUGUCAUUAAUUUGGUGUCAUGGGGAAUCAGGACUGUUACUUUGAAAAAAUUAGAGUGUUUAAAGCAGGCUCACGCUUG
RNAcentral lists this ribosomal RNA (200 nucleotides) under uncultured Glomus. RNAcentral's name for it is "partial small subunit ribosomal RNA". It matches the Rfam family "Eukaryotic small subunit ribosomal RNA", at positions 591 to 797 of the family's 1831-position model. Lineage: Eukaryota; Fungi; Glomeromycota; Glomeromycetes; Glomerales; Glomeraceae. The record is from RNAcentral.